RNAcentral lists this unclassified non-coding RNA (257 nucleotides) under Hevea brasiliensis (rubber tree). The record is from RNAcentral. Lineage: Eukaryota; Viridiplantae; Streptophyta; Magnoliopsida; Malpighiales; Euphorbiaceae.
GUGAUUCAUUUCAAUCUGUCAAUCAACAAUGCAGUUUUCUUCUCUUGAAAGUUAAAAGUGAUAACUAAAAUCAGAGCAUCCAUUAAAAUAAUCAGAAACAUUGUCUAAGUAUGGAGCAGAUGACAUAUAUUUGGAUUGCAAAAUCAUAUUUAUGUUUGUCAUCAUUUUCCUAUGCAUCACCUUCCUUUUCCCUUUCCCUCCAGUAUUAUUUUUAAAUAUUUGUUUUAGAAGUAACAUGGUCAGACAAAGGAAUAAAA